GAUGAACGUUGGCGGCGUGCCUAAUACAUGCAAGUCGAACGAAGACUGUAGUAAUACUGUCUUAGUGGCGAACGGGUGAGUAACGCGUGGGUGACCUGCCCCGAAGUGUGGGAUAACAGUUCGAAAGAACUGCUAAUACCGCAUAAUAUCCAAGAGAUUAGACGCUUUUGGAUUAAAGGAGUAAUUCGCUUCGGGAGGGGCCCGCGUCCCAUCAGCUAGUUGGUAAGGUAAUGGCUUACCAAGGCGAUGACGGGUAGGGGACCUGAGAGGGUGGCCCCCCAAAUGGAACUGAAACACGGUCCAUACACCUACGGGUGGCAGCAGUAGGGAAUAUUGCAAAUGGGCAAAGCCUGAUGUAGCAACGCCGCGUGUGCGAUGAAGGUCUUCGGAUUGUAAAGCACUUUUUGGAGGGAUGAGGAAGGACAGUACCUCCAGAAUAAGCCUGGCUAACUACGUGCCAAGCAGCCGGGUAAACUAGUCUACG
This 484-nucleotide ribosomal RNA is filed under the name uncultured bacterium. RNAcentral's name for it is "bacterial SSU rRNA". It matches the Rfam family "Bacterial small subunit ribosomal RNA", at positions 28 to 534 of the family's 1533-position model. The record is from RNAcentral.